This is a non-coding RNA of Cinara cedri, 646 nucleotides long. NCBI's taxonomy places the organism in Eukaryota, Metazoa, Arthropoda, Insecta, Hemiptera, Aphididae. The record is from the annotation of a GenBank genome assembly.
UUCUCACUUUUUCUCUUUUGUUUUAAAAAUACUGAUUGGAAAAUUGAAAAAUGACGUCUUUAAAGUACCAUCCCAAAAAAAAAUUAAUUUUAGAAAAGGGUCUACAUCGUAUACAUCGGAGCAAGAUUUCUGGUAGAUUUUUUGUUCACAGUAUGAAAAAACACAUCUUUGUAAAACCAAUACAUUCUUUGCUACACAAAAAAUCUAAAAUAACUGUUAGUAGAUAUUUUGAUAUAAUUGAUACUAAACUAUGCAACUCUAUACCACCUUGCAUUAUGAAUCUCCCGAUUAAAUUACAGUAAACUCGCUCAAGACACUGUUUUCUGUCAGUCCUUAGACAUUUCCUAGUCAAUAUAAGAAUCGCCUAUUAAGAUGCUCAGUUUUUCUCUAUCUAAUUGGAUAAGACGCUCUUUUGUUCAGCAGAUUACAAUACAUUUUAGUAGUGUACUAAUAUAAAACUUGUUUUCUUGCCACUAAAUGCUAUAUCUAAGUUACAACCCCUGGAUCAGAGUAUCAUAAAAGUGAUAAAACAAAAGUACCAAAAAAAAUUAUUCUAGUGAUACUUAAUAGACAUGGAGUACUAACCAAAUUUCAUACAAAAUAGACAUGUACCUAUAAAUGUAUUUCUUUUUUAAUUAAAUUCAAU